This 497-nucleotide ribosomal RNA is filed under the name uncultured bacterium. RNAcentral describes it as "partial 16S ribosomal RNA". It matches the Rfam family "Bacterial small subunit ribosomal RNA", at positions 28 to 506 of the family's 1533-position model. The record is from RNAcentral.
GAUGAACGCUGGCGGCGUGCCUAAUACAUGCAAGUCGAGCGAACAGACGAGGAGCUUGCUCCUCUGACGUUAGCGGCGGACGGGUGAGUAACACGUGGAUAACCUACCUAUAAGACUGGGAUAACUUCGGGAAACCGGAGCUAAUACCGGAUAAUAUAUUGAACCGCAUGGUUCAAUAGUGAAAGACGGUUUUGCUGUCACUUAUAGAUGGAUCCGCGCCGCAUUAGCUAGUUGGUAAGGUAACGGCUUACCAAGGCAACGAUGCGUAGCCGACCUGAGAGGGGGGACGGGCCAACCGGGAACGGGAAAACGGCCCAGAACCCAAGGGGGGGCAGAAGUAGGGAAUUUCCGGAAAGGGGGGAAAGCCGGAGGGAGAAACGCGGGGGGGGUGAGGAAGGGUUUCGGAUGGUAAAACCUUGUUAUGAGGAAAAAAAAAAUGGGAAAGUAACUAUGCACGUUUGGACGGUACUUAAUAAAAAAGCCACGGCUAACUAGGU